GACGAACGCUGGCGGCGUGCUUAACACAUGCAAGUCGAACGAUGAAGCCUAGCUUGCUAGGUGGAUUAGUGGCGAACGGGUGAGUAAUACGUGAGUAACCUACCUUUAACUCUGGGAUAAGCCUGGGAAACUGGGUCUAAUACCGGAUACGACCAAUCUCCGCAUGGGGUGUUGGUGGAAAGCGUUAUGUAGUGGUUAUAGAUGGGCUCACGGCCUAUCAGCUUGUUGGUGAGGUAACGGCUCACCAAGGCGACGACGGGUAGCCGGCCUGAGAGGGUGACCGGCCACACUGGGACUGAGACACGGCCCAGACUCCUACGGGAGGCAGCAGUGGGGAAUAUUGCACAAUGGGCGCAAGCCUGAUGCAGCGACGCCGCGUGAGGGAUGACGGCCUUCGGGUUGUAAACCUCUGUUAGCAGGGAAGAAGAGAGAUUGACGGUACCUGCAGAGAAAGCGCCGGCUAACUACGUGCCAGCAGCCGCGGUAAUACGUAGGGCGCGAGCGUUGUCCGGAAUUAUUGGGCGUAAAGAGCUUGUAGGCGGUUUGUCGCGUCUGCUGUGAAAGGCCGGAGCUUAACUCCGUGUAUUGCAGUGGGUACGGGCAGACUAGAGUGCAGUAGGGGAGACUGGAAUUCCUGGUGUAGCGGUGGAAUGCGCAGAUAUCAGGAGGAACACCGAUGGCGAAGCAGGUCUCUGGGCUGUAACUGACGCUGAGAAGCGAAAGCAUGGGGAGCGAACAGGAUUAGAUACCCUUGUAGUCCAAGGGCGAAUUCCACAGUGGAUAUCAAGCUUAUCGAUACCGUCGACCUCGAGGGGGGGCCCGGUACCCAGCUUUUGUUCCCUUUAUAAGGGUUUA
RNAcentral lists this ribosomal RNA (855 nucleotides) under Rothia mucilaginosa. RNAcentral's name for it is "bacterial SSU rRNA". It matches the Rfam family "Bacterial small subunit ribosomal RNA". Lineage: Bacteria; Bacillati; Actinomycetota; Actinomycetes; Micrococcales; Micrococcaceae. The record is from RNAcentral.